Oribacterium sinus F0268 is the source of this 74-nucleotide transfer RNA. It matches the Rfam family "tRNA". From Rfam's summary of the family: Transfer RNA (tRNA) molecules are approximately 80 nucleotides in length. Their secondary structure includes four short double-helical elements and three loops (D, anti-codon, and T loops). The record is from Rfam. NCBI's taxonomy places the organism in Bacteria, Bacillati, Bacillota, Clostridia, Lachnospirales, Lachnospiraceae.
GAUUCAGUAGCUCAGCUGGAUAGAGCAACGGCCUUCUAAGCCGUGGGUCGGGGGUUCGAAUCCCUUCUGGAUCA